This 243-nucleotide ribosomal RNA is filed under the name Bacillus licheniformis. Its description in RNAcentral is "partial 16S ribosomal RNA". It matches the Rfam family "Bacterial small subunit ribosomal RNA", at positions 183 to 418 of the family's 1533-position model. Lineage: Bacteria; Bacillati; Bacillota; Bacilli; Caryophanales; Bacillaceae. The record is from RNAcentral.
GAGCCGCAUGGUUCAAUUAUAAAAGGUGGCUUUCAGCUACCACUUACAGAUGGACCCGCGGCGCAUUAGCUAGUUGGUGAGGUAACGGCUCACCAAGGCGACGAUGCGUAGCCGACCUGAGAGGGUGAUCGGCCACACUGGGACUGAGACACGGCCCAGACUCCUACGGGAGGCAGCAGUAGGGAAUCUUCCGCAAUGGACGAAAGUCUGACGGAGCAACGCCGCGUGAGUGAUGAAGGUUUU